AACGAACGCUGGCGGCAUGCCUAACACAUGCAAGUCGAACGAGACCUUCGGGUCUAGUGGCGCACGGGUGCGUAACGCGUGGGAACCUGCCCUUAGGUUCUGAAUAACUCCCCGAAAGGGGUGCUAAUACCGGAUAAUGUCUUCGGACCAAAGAUUUAUCGCGUUUGGAUGGGCCCGCGUUGGAUUAGCUAGUUGGUAGGGUAAAAGCCUAUCAAGGCGACGAUCCAUAGCUGGUCUGAGAGGAUGAUCAGCCACACUGGGACUGAGACACGGCCCAGACUCCUACGGGAGGCAGCAGUGGGGAAUAUUGGACAAUGGGCGAAAGCCUGAUCCAGCAAUGCCGCGUGAGUGAUGAAGGCCUUAGGGUUGUAAAGCUCUUUUACCCGGGAUGAUAAUGACAGUACCGGGAGAAUAAGCGCCGGCUAACUCCGUG
Molecule: ribosomal RNA, 433 nt
Filed under: uncultured bacterium
Lineage: Bacteria
Description: partial 16S ribosomal RNA
Rfam family: Bacterial small subunit ribosomal RNA
Source: RNAcentral